UCCUGGCUCAGGAUGAACGCUAGCGACAGGCUAACACAUGCAAGUCGAGGGGCAUCACGGGAGUAGCAAUACAACUGGUGGCGACCGGCGCACGGGUGAGUAACGCGUAUGCAACCUACCUAUCAGAGGGGAAUAACCCGGCGAAAGUCGGACUAAUACCGCAUAAAACAGGGGCACCGCAUGGUGAUAUUUGUUAAAGAAAUUCGCUGAUAGAUGGGCAUGCGUUCCAUUAGGUAGUUGGUGAGGUAACGGCUCACCAAGCCGACGAUGGAUAGGGAACUGAGAGGUUGGUCCCCCACACUGGUACUGAGACACGGACCAGACUCCUACGGGAGGCAGCAGUGAGGAAUAUUGGUCAAUGGGCGGGAGCCUGAACCAGCCAAGUCGCGUGAAGGAAGAAGGAUCUAUGGUUCGUAAACUUCUUUUGCAGGGGAAUAAAGUGCAGGACGUGUCCUGUUUUGUAUGUACCCUGAGAAUAAGGAUCGGCUAACUCCGUGCCAGCAGCGGC
RNAcentral lists this ribosomal RNA (508 nucleotides) under uncultured bacterium. Its description in RNAcentral is "bacterial SSU rRNA". It matches the Rfam family "Bacterial small subunit ribosomal RNA", at positions 17 to 518 of the family's 1533-position model. The record is from RNAcentral.